RNAcentral lists this long non-coding RNA (578 nucleotides) under Chinchilla lanigera (long-tailed chinchilla). Its description in RNAcentral is "lncRNA (ENSCLAG00000026590.1)". The record is from RNAcentral. Lineage: Eukaryota; Metazoa; Chordata; Mammalia; Rodentia; Chinchillidae.
CGGGACUAGAGGAAGCCACUAACACACAAAGUACUGUUUCUCACAGUGAGAGGAAAGCUGACACGUGGUAUCCGCAAGCUCUGGGUCCUGGGUGCUUUUAGUUAACAGAGCCAGAGGGCAAAGGGCAGGAUAAUACCCGAUGGCUUCCAGCCAUGUGCUCGCUGGAAGUCUCAGGUGCACUCAGAUUGCUUGGAGUUAGGCCAGCACUGAAGAGAAAUCAAACUCAAUCAAGCCAGGAAGGAUUAGCAUUUCUACUAGGAGAGCAGACCACGCACAAACAGAGGGGACCAAACACCAGUGAAGAAGAUCGAAGCUGCACCAACAUAAAAAGUCUUUGUCUGCUGGAGAUGGCAUUACCUGUGACCUUGCUUCACUUCUUCACACAUGGCUGUUGUAGCAGAUGGUCCCCAAUGCCACAAGAUACUUUGAUGGCAAGAGGAAACACUGGAGAUAGAAUGCUGGGCGAAGAAAAGCAGAAAUGGGAAGAUUUGGUCACGUGGAAAUUCAGUUCUUCAGAAUAUGCUAGAUGUGGGCAUAGAUCCCCGACACUUGGCCCUCAAUUUCACGAGACAAUUUGA